AACGAACGCUGGCGGCAGGCCUAACACAUGCAAGUCGAGGGGGAAGCCACUUUCGGGUGGUGGAGACCGGCGCACGGGUGAGUAACGCGUGGGCACCUGCCCCGGGGUGGGGGAUAACCGCUGGAAACGGCGGCUAAUACCGCAUACGCCCUAUUUUCGUAGAGGAGAUGGGGGAAAGAUUUAUUGCCCUGGGAUGGGCCCGCGUUGGAUUAGCUUGUUGGUGGGGUAAAGGCCUACCAAGGCGACGAUCCAUAGCUGGUCUGAGAGGAUGAUCAGCCACACUGGGACUGAGACACGGCCCAGACUCCUACGGGAGGCAGCAGUGGGGAAUAUUGGACAAUGGGGGCAACCCUGAUCCAGCCAUGCCGCGUGCGUGAAGAAGGCCUUAGGGUUGUAAAGCGCUUUCACCGGUGACGAUGAUGACGGUAGCCGGAGAAGAAGCCCCGGCUAACUCCGUG
This 458-nucleotide ribosomal RNA is filed under the name uncultured bacterium. Its description in RNAcentral is "bacterial SSU rRNA". It matches the Rfam family "Bacterial small subunit ribosomal RNA", at positions 28 to 507 of the family's 1533-position model. The record is from RNAcentral.